GACUUAGCUGAGAGGUGGUGCAUGGCCGUCGUCAGUUCGUACUGUGAAGCAUCCUGUUAAGUCAGGCAACGAGCGAGACCCACGUCCACAGUUGCCAGCAUACCCUCCGGGGUGGAUGGGUACACUGUGGAGACCGCCGCUGCUAAAGCGGAGGAAGGAGUGGGCAACGGUAGGUCAGUAUGCCCCGAAUCUCCCGGGCUACACGCGGGCUACAAUGGUUGGUACAAUGGGCAUCUACCCCGAAAGGGGAAGGAAAUCUCUUAAAGCCAAUCGUAGUUCGGAUUGAGGGCUGCAACUCGCCCUCAUGAAGCUGGAAUCCGUAGUAAUCGCGUUUCAACAGAACGCGGUGAAUACGUCCCUGCUCCUU
This 367-nucleotide ribosomal RNA is filed under the name uncultured Methanosaeta sp. RNAcentral's name for it is "bacterial SSU rRNA". It matches the Rfam family "Archaeal small subunit ribosomal RNA", at positions 974 to 1338 of the family's 1478-position model. Lineage: Archaea; Methanobacteriati; Methanobacteriota; Methanomicrobia; Methanotrichales; Methanotrichaceae. The record is from RNAcentral.